GCUGCCCUCAAGCACGGCUUGUGUGUUGGGUCGCCGUCCCCUUCCCGGGGGACGGGCCCGAAAGGCAGCGGCGGCACCGCGUCCGGUCCUCGAGCGUAUGGGGCUUUGUCACCCGCUCUGUAGGC
Molecule: unclassified non-coding RNA, 125 nt
Filed under: Aspergillus wentii
Lineage: Eukaryota; Fungi; Ascomycota; Eurotiomycetes; Eurotiales; Aspergillaceae
Also listed under: 1 other name
Description: partial miscellaneous RNA
Source: RNAcentral